CCUAACUAAUCCUUCCACAUCAGCCAUCUGAGUCCUGGGACUACAUGCAUGUUUUCACCUUGCCUGGUGUUUAAAAACCAUCAUCUUUCCACAGAGUGAAGUUCUUGCUCUGUGGUGGUUCGUCUCCAUUGUCAGCUUGACUGAGCUAGGAAACACGCUGCUCAUUGUGCCCCUGAGAGCACUGGUGUUUCCUAAGAGGGAAGACUCAUCUGAAGGUAGGGAGCACCAUUCCUGGGCUAGAGUGCUGGACGAAUGAAAAGGAGAAGGCAAGCCAGGCGCCAGCCAGCAUCUGUCUCCCUCGUGCGGACACACCGUGACACUGCCUCACACUUUCGUUGCCCACCUUCCGGCCCUGGUGGCACCCCCAAACCACACAUUCAACAACCUCCCCGCCCCGUCCUUCCCGAAGCUGUUUGCCAUGUAUUUUCACAGCGUGAAAAAGCCUGUCUGUGAUGACCCACAGGUCUCUCUCUCUUCUCCAUCUGCUCCCCACGUUGACUAUCUCAGCUUUUAGCAUCUCCUCAGACCCAAAUCGAGGGUAUGAUGGCUAGGGAGAGGCUCUGUAGCAAAGAAGCUCAAAACCACACCCAAAGUGUGUGAAUCUGCAUUCCCAGUGAAGAGUCGCUUCAUCCCGUAGUGCUUGGUAUAGGAUGUCAGCUUUCUCUACAGCAAGGACCAUAGCUACUCAACGGCGGUCAUCAGGGACCAGCUCCAGCUGUCCCUCUCGGAGGAGCACUGGGACUAAGCCUCAGAGCAGGAGGGGACCCUAGUCUGCUGAUCUCCCAGGGCUUCUGAAAUAGUGUUCCAGAAAUGAAAUUGUCUUAAACCACCCAGGAUGGAGCCUCAUCUGCCAAGCAGCUAGCAGCUCCAGGGAGUGUGCUCUAGCACAUAAGUGACCCACCGACCCUCCUGGGAAUGACUUCAGGGAAGCAUCGAGAGAGAAGCUCUGCUAACAUCUGGCCAGAUCUUUACAAAGAUGAUGGAAGAAGAAAGCCCUCAAAUGAAGGCCCUCGGAGGCGGGCUACACAACAAAGUCAAACACAGAGGCAAGCUGCAAACAGGAAGCAGCAGUCUGUGCCGAGGUCCGUGUGCUCCUCUCUCUUCCCUUUCACACUCCUCUCACAGUUAAUAUUCCCUCCUGAAAGCGCUGCUUCCCUGACAUCAUGGUAUUCGAACAAUGAUAGCAUUUGGAUUUUCCAGCAGAGUUAACAGUACUGUGCAAAGCAAAAACUGCCAAUUGAUGGGCUUAUUCUGCUUCUUAAAUGCAUUUCUUGAA
Long non-coding RNA from Psammomys obesus (fat sand rat), 1276 nucleotides. RefSeq lists it as uncharacterized. The record is from RefSeq and is a predicted model, not a curated record. NCBI's taxonomy places the organism in Eukaryota, Metazoa, Chordata, Mammalia, Rodentia, Muridae. The transcript has 3 exons.